GAUCCUGGCUCAGAUUGAACGCUGGCGGCAUGGCUAAAACAUGCAAGUCGAACGCGAACGGAGAGCUUGCUUUCCAAGUAGAGUGGCGAAAGGGCGAGGAAUAUAUUUCUAACGUGCCCCAAGGUCGAGGAUAGCUCGGGGAAACUUGGAUUAAUACCUGAUGACCCCCGCAGAUCGUAUGUUCAGCGGGGCAAAGGCUUGCCACUCGGGGAGCGGGGAAAGUCCUAUCAGGUUGUUGGUGGGGUAACGGCUUACCAAGGCUUAGACGGGUAGCGGGUGUGAGAGCAUGACCCGCCGCAUCGGGACUGAGACACUGCCCGGACUCCUACGGGAGGCUGCAGCGACGAAUCUUCCGCAAUGGGCGAAAGCCUGACGGAGCAAUGCCGCGUGCAGGAUGAAGCCCCUCGGGGUGUAAACUGCUGUCAGGGGCUACCAAGAUCUGAGGAGCUCCAGAGGAAGGACCGGCUAACUUCGUGCCAGCAGCCGCGGUAAUACGAAGGGUCCAAGCGUUAAUCGGAGUAACUGGGCUUAAAGGGUGCGUAGGCGGAUCGGUAAGUGCUUUGUGAAAUCCCACGGCUCAACCGUGGAAUUGCUUGGCAUACUGCAUAUCUUGAGGUCGGAAGAGGUUGCCGGAACUCUAGGUGGAGCGGUGAAAUGCGUAGAUAUCUAGCGGACGCCAAAGGAGAAGGCAGGUUGCUGGGCCGAUGUUGACGCUCAGGCACGAAAGCGUGGGUAGCGAACGGGAUUAGAUACCCCGGUAGUCCACGCCCUAAACGAUGUGUACUAGAUCGUGAAGACUCUGACGUCGGCACGGUCGAAGCAAAAGUUUUUAAGUACACCGCCUGGGGAGUAUGGUCGCAAGGCUGAAACUCAAAGGAAUUGACGGGGGCUCACACAAGCGGUGGAGCAUGUGGCUUAAUUCGAGGCAACGCGAAGAACCUUAUCCUGGGUUUGACAUGUAUGGAUUAGCUCCCUGAAAGGGGAGUGACGCGGCUUGCCGUGGAACAUACACAGGUGCUGCAUGGCUGUCGUCAGCUCGUGCUGUGAAGUGUCGGGUUAAGUCCCUUAACGAGCGAAACCCCUGUCAUUAGUUGCCAACGCGUUAUGGCGGGGCGGGGACUCUAGCGGGACUGGCGGUGUUAAACCGGAGGAAGGUGGGGAUGACGACAAGUCCUCAUGGCCUUUAUGCCCAGGGCUGCACACGUGCUACAAUGGCAAUUACAGAGCGAAGCGAUGUCGCAAGGCGGAGCAAAUCGCAAAAAGGUUGCCCCAGUUCGGAUUGUGGUCUGCAACUCGACCACAUGAAGUUGGAAUCGCUAGUAAUCGCGUAUCAGCUACGACGCGGUGAAUACGUUCCUGAGCCUUGUACACACCGCCCGUCAAGUCAUGGGAGCCGGUAGUACCCGAAGCCGCCCUACUUCAAUGGUGUCGACGGUAAGCUCGGUGACUGGGACUAAGUCGUAACAAGGUAACCA
RNAcentral lists this ribosomal RNA (1475 nucleotides) under uncultured prokaryote. RNAcentral's name for it is "partial 16S ribosomal RNA". It matches the Rfam family "Bacterial small subunit ribosomal RNA". The record is from RNAcentral.